Molecule: ribosomal RNA, 383 nt
Filed under: uncultured bacterium
Lineage: Bacteria
Description: bacterial SSU rRNA
Rfam family: Bacterial small subunit ribosomal RNA
Source: RNAcentral
CGCAAGCCUGACGGAGCAACGCCGCGUGAGGGAUGAAGGCCUCUGGGCUGUAAACCUCUUUUAUCAAGGAAGAAGAUCUGACGGUACUUGAUGAAUAAGCCACGGCUAAUUCCGUGCCAGCAGCCGCGGUAAUACGGGAGUGGCAAGCGUUAUCCGGAAUUAUUGGGCGUAAAGCGUCCGCAGGCGGUUUUACAAGUCUGUCGUUAAAGCGUGGAGCUCAACUCCAUUUCAGCGAUGGAAACUGUAAGACUCGAGUGUGGUAGGGGCAGAGGGAAUUCCCGGUGUAGCGGUGAAAUGCGUAGAUAUCGGGAAGAACACCAGUGGCGAAAGCGCUCUGCUGGGCCAUAACUGACGCUCAUGGACGAAAGCCAGGGGAGCGAAAG